Molecule: long non-coding RNA, 648 nt
Filed under: Lupinus angustifolius (narrow-leaved blue lupine)
Lineage: Eukaryota; Viridiplantae; Streptophyta; Magnoliopsida; Fabales; Fabaceae
Description: long non-coding RNA (LANG_LNC000209)
Source: RNAcentral
AUUUGUUGAGUGUAUAUUUGUGAUUAAGCAAUUUGGUGUUGGAAAUGCUCUUUUCCCUUUUUAUGCUAUGCAAUUUUGGAUGGUGAACUAUAAUUAGAUAAAACUUUGAUCUUGGUGGUGCUAGAUUACCAGAGAUAAUUGAUUAUAGAUUGUUUAGAUGGUUAGUUAGUUGAUUCUAGUUUGAGUCAUAUCUUAUUCUCAUUUUAACCAGUUCUUCACUUUAAUCAAUUGCAUAAUACUCAAUUCUUCUAUCUGCCAUAUUUUCCAACAGUGAACAUGCUAAUCAAUGAAGUAAAGAAGAAAUCAUAUAUGAUAAUAAGGCUGAAGACAUUCGAGCCAUGCAAAAGUUCUUAUUCUUCUAGUAUUAUUAUGUCACAUACCACACUGCACAAUAUACAUAGAUUAUUGAUGCAUUUCAAGAACUCCUAGCACCUUCAUACAUGGCCUUACUCCUUAUGUGUGUCUUAUACAUUUAAGUUACCAAAGUUGAUGGCUCCAUUAGCAUUGCCAUCAGUGUAGCCUGUUUGAUUACUCAGACCUUUUAUCCUUUGACUUCCAGUGUUGUUAUAUUUUCCGGACACGCGAUUCCUUCGGGACGUAGGAGUAGGAAAGGAUUUCGGCGGCAGCGCUGGAGGAGCAUGUUCAGUC